AUAGGGAGUCGUGCCUUCCCAGUGGGCAUACGAGCCUAAACGGACGCGGUAAAUCGUGCUAAGGUAGCUAAGUUAUGGCCUAUUAAUUGUAGGUCUUGUGAAUGGUUUGACGAGCCUCCAACUGUCUCUAGGUUGUUUUGGUGAACUUGAGUUGAAUGUGUAAAUGCCUUCGUGGGUAAGAAAGACGAGAAGACCCCGUGAAGUUAAAAAUUUUAGCGUAUGGAGUGUUAUUCCCUGUUGGUGAAGGCUAGAGGGUUAAGGGAUUUGGUUGGUUUCUAAGUGAGGGGGUGUAGUGAAUGGUUUUUGCUGGGGCAGCAAAAGGGCAAAUUUAGACCUUAAUUGUAUUUAAAACGGGUGCGUUACGACCCAUAAUUAAAAAGGUGUGAUUAGCAGAAGGAGUUACUCCGGGGAUAACAGCGUUAUUCGUCCUGAGAGUUCUUAUUGGUGGACGGGUUUGCGACCUCGAUGUUGGCUCUGGAUAUCCUGGGGCUUGCAGGCGGUCCCAAGGGUUGGUUCGUUCGCCCAUUAAAAAUC
Molecule: ribosomal RNA, 534 nt
Filed under: Placopecten magellanicus (sea scallop)
Lineage: Eukaryota; Metazoa; Mollusca; Bivalvia; Pectinida; Pectinidae
Description: partial 16S ribosomal RNA
Rfam family: Bacterial large subunit ribosomal RNA
Source: RNAcentral